CUCGUAGGCGGUCUGUCGCGUCUGCCGUGAAAACCCGAGGCUUAACCUCGUGGCUUGCGGUGGAUACGGGCAGACUAGAGGUAGGUAGGGGAGAAUGGAAUUCCCGGUGUAGCGGUGAAAUGCGCAGAUAUCGGGAGGAACACCGGUGGCGAAGGCGGUUCUCUGGGCCUUACCUGACGCUGAGGAGCGAAAGCGUGGGGAGCGAACA
Molecule: ribosomal RNA, 208 nt
Filed under: uncultured bacterium
Lineage: Bacteria
Description: partial 16S ribosomal RNA
Rfam family: Bacterial small subunit ribosomal RNA
Source: RNAcentral